GAGGAUAUAGCUCAGUGGUAGAGUACCUGCUUAGCAUGCAUGAGGUCCUGGGUUCAAUCCCCAGUACCUCCA
This 72-nucleotide transfer RNA is filed under the name Camelus bactrianus (Bactrian camel). It matches the Rfam family "tRNA". Rfam says of the family: Transfer RNA (tRNA) molecules are approximately 80 nucleotides in length. Lineage: Eukaryota; Metazoa; Chordata; Mammalia; Artiodactyla; Camelidae. RNAcentral also lists the same sequence under 2 other names. The record is from Rfam by way of RNAcentral.